This 477-nucleotide ribosomal RNA is filed under the name Candidatus Scalindua marina (nom. nud.). RNAcentral describes it as "bacterial SSU rRNA". It matches the Rfam family "Bacterial small subunit ribosomal RNA", at positions 365 to 832 of the family's 1533-position model. Lineage: Bacteria; Pseudomonadati; Planctomycetota; Candidatus Brocadiia; Candidatus Brocadiales; Candidatus Scalinduaceae. The record is from RNAcentral.
UUCGCAAUGCCCGAAAGGGUGACGAAGCGACGCCGCGUGGGUGAAGAAGGCCUUCGGGUUGUAAAGCCCUGUCAGGAGUUGUGAAAUGUAGGUGCGAUAAUACCGUGCCUAUUUGACAAAGGCUCCAAAGGAAGCCACGGCUAACUCUGUGCCAGCAGCCGCGGUAAUACAGAGGUGGCAAGCGUUGCUCGGAAUUAUUAGGCGUAAAGAGCACGCAGGUGGGUUUGUAAGUCAGAUGUGAAAGCCUUCUGUUCAACGGAAGAAUUGCAUCUGAAACUGCGAGUCUUGAGUGUAGGAGGGGAGAAUGGAACUUCUGGUGGAGCGGUGAAAUGCGUAGAUAUCAGAAGGAACGCCGGCGGCGAAAGCGAUUCUCUGGCCUAUUACUGACACUGAGUGUGCGAAAGCUAGGGGAGCAAACGGGAUUAGAUACCCCGGUAGUCCUAGCCGUAAACGAUGGGCACUAAGUAGAGGGGUUUU